This 1001-nucleotide long non-coding RNA is filed under the name Canis lupus dingo (dingo). Its description in RNAcentral is "lncRNA (ENSCAFG00020015311.1)". Lineage: Eukaryota; Metazoa; Chordata; Mammalia; Carnivora; Canidae. The record is from RNAcentral.
CAGCUCAGCGCGGCCACCGACGCCCUGGCAGCUCGCGGUGCGCAGGGAGGCGGCUGCGGGAGCCCGUGGCCUCGGUGCCCCGACAGGGGCCGCUUCUCCCCCUUCUCCCCGUUGCCUCUACUCGGCGCGGCUCUCGGGCUACGGUCACCUUCGGAUCAGCACUGGGCAGGCCUGCGCACUUUGUUGAAGACCACGGCCACACCUGAUGCGGGGCUUGCUCGGCCCUCGGCCCGCUGGGCCGCCACUCCUCUGCCGGCUACAGACCCCGCAGCUCGGGCGCAGACGUCGGGCUCCGGCCGCUAGCGUGGAAGGCAUUCUGUCCAAUUCACUCCAACUUCCGGACCUGCGAGACUUUGGUCUCUACUUCCUGGAAGCAGGCCAAGCAAAUUCUUCGAAUAUGGAACGUGGGGUAGGGCUUCCGAGGGGCGCGGGGCCCGGCUCCCCCUGGGGCCUUGCUCCCCCCGGGGUAGGGCUUCCGAGGGGCGCGGGCCCGGCUCCCCUCCGUGCAGCUCCUCCCCGCCCCAGCCAGCGGUGGGGGUGUUGGGAUAACUGGCGAUGCAGCCCCCAGCCCCCGGCACACACACCGUGGCUGCCGCCGGACUGUCCUCCAGGCCAGCUCCCCCGCCAAGUGUCUCCAGAACAGCCGAGGCCCACCCUGCGUCCUCGGCCCCUCAGCCCGUGCUCCCGGCCCGGUCCCCUUGCUCCCUCCCGCCUCAGCAUCUGCACCUGUGUCAGGGCCUGGUCCGUGCGCCCUGUCUGCAGCUCCAGGGAGACGGCCCAGGGGUGGGUCCCCCCCGAGGUGACAAGGGCCAAGGGCAGCAGCCUCCAUGAUUCACUUCCUCCUUGCUGUGUGCUGGGUGAGUCACGCCGACGCCAACCACAGGCGGGAGGCUCCUCACGCGCAGGCCGCGGGCUCUGCUGGAGGCCCGGCAUUCUUCGUAUUCCCUUGGGAUCUGCAUGUGUCUUCUGGUGACUCCGGAGCCCAUCUGUGUCCCCUCCUU